UUAGCCCUUUAAUUGGAGAUUUAGCCCAUCGAGAUUCUAUGCUGGGAGAAUUACCUAUUAAACCUCUUACCUUGAGUAGUUUUGCCUCCUGCCAGUAUAUGUCUUCAACACCAACAGCCUGUGAAAAUUGAAUUUCAAGUUCACUUGAAUUUGGCAAAUAUUUCUUAAGUUUACCUUGCAUUUGAAUCCAUGAGAACCCCUCAAGAAUAUGUUCUACACAGAGUCUGUGGCCCCCAACAACACCACAUAGUGAGUUUUCCUUCUGGAAAGGUGAUGAUAUAAAAAUUCAGUUUCUUGUAACCUCUCUCAGAAAACAAAGAACAUAUCAUGUCAUCAAACUCCCUGAUAAAUCUUUCCUUUUGUUUGUUGUUUGUUUAUUUAUCUUUGAAAUUACAUUUGCUUGUAAUUUAUGUUUCUAUAAAAUAAUAGAGACAUACAAGCAUCUCAGUGUCCCAAAUGAGGUAAGAAAUUUGUGUUUGGAGCUCUUGUAUAAAUUAGAUAAUGAAUCAACCUAUAUUGUUAUUUAAAGGAUCUAUAUUCUAAUGCAGUCAAGAGAGAAUGUCACAAAGAGCCCUCAAACUGGCCAUUUGUUCCCUGACUCUUUUACUACCUCUUUCAUGUUGGUCCUAUGGUACAGACAGGAAGAUGUCAAUUUUUAGAUAUAAGUAAUUCUGAUAUUGCUU
Molecule: long non-coding RNA, 683 nt
Organism: Herpailurus yagouaroundi (jaguarundi)
Lineage: Eukaryota; Metazoa; Chordata; Mammalia; Carnivora; Felidae
Exons: 2
Source: RefSeq, a predicted model, not a curated record